UGGGGAAUAUUGCACAAUGGACGGAAGUCUGAUGCAGCGACGCCGCGUGGGGGAUGAAGGCUUUCGGGUUGUAAACUCCUUUUGAUGCUGAACAAGGCUCUUUCUAGGGUUGAGGGUAGGUGUUGAAUAAGCGCCGGCUAACUACGUGCCAGCAGCCGCGGUAACACGUAGGGCGCGAGCGUUGUCCGGAAUUAUUGGGCGUAAAGGGCUCGUAGGCGGGUUGUCGCGUCUGCUGUGAAAGACCGGGGCUUAACUCCGGGGUUGCAGUGGGUACGGGCAGACUAGAGUGCGGUAGGGGUAGAUGGAAUUCCUGGUGUAGCGGUGGAAUGCGCAGAUAUCAGGAGGAACACCGAUGGCGAAGGCAGGUUACUGGGCCGUUACUGACGCUGAGGGGCGAAAGCAUGGGGAGCGAACAGG
RNAcentral lists this ribosomal RNA (417 nucleotides) under Fusobacteriota bacterium. Its description in RNAcentral is "Fusobacteria bacterium partial 16S ribosomal RNA". It matches the Rfam family "Bacterial small subunit ribosomal RNA", at positions 355 to 776 of the family's 1533-position model. Lineage: Bacteria; Fusobacteriati; Fusobacteriota. The record is from RNAcentral.